GCGUUCUUGAUGUGAUGGUUAGCAUGGAUGCCUUCCGAGCAUUGGACAGAGAUUCGAUUCCACCCGAAAGCA
This is a non-coding RNA of Teladorsagia circumcincta, 72 nucleotides long. The record is from the annotation of a GenBank genome assembly. Lineage: Eukaryota; Metazoa; Nematoda; Chromadorea; Rhabditida; Trichostrongylidae.